Molecule: ribosomal RNA, 507 nt
Filed under: uncultured bacterium
Lineage: Bacteria
Description: bacterial SSU rRNA
Rfam family: Bacterial small subunit ribosomal RNA
Source: RNAcentral
GGCUCAGAACGAACGCUGGCGGCGCGUUUAAGCAUGCAAGUCGAGCGGCAAGGGCCUUCGGGCCCCUAGAGCGGCGGACGGGUGAGUAACACGUGGACAAUCUGCCCCCCGGCCCGGGAUAGCCCAGGGAAACCUGGAUUAAUACCGGAUGAGACGGGACCCGCGAUGGCGGGAUCCGGGAAAGGCGCUGCGGCGCCGCCGGGGGAUGAGUCUGCGUCCCAUUAGCUAGACGGCGGGGUAACGGCCCACCGUGGCGACGAUGGGUAGCCGGCCUGAGAGGGUGGACGGCCACAUUGGAACUGAGACACGGUCCAGACUCCUACGGGGGGCAGCAGCUAAGAAUCUUCCGCAAUGGGCGAAAGCCUGACGGAGCCGACGCCGCGUGAACGAAGAAGGCCGUGAGGUUGUAAAGUUCUUUUCGGGAGGGGGAACAACCGUGGCAGGGAAUGGCCGCGGGAUGACGUGAAUCCCGGAAUAAGCCCCGGCUAACUACGUGCCAGCAGCCGC